AAAUUUACACAUUUCAUAACCGAAAAUAAGUUUAGAUAUCUAAAACAUUCAUUUAAAGUGAAAUUAUAGCUAAUGGAAUAAAAUAAAAAUAAUGAAUAAAAUAUUCCAUUUUUUCAUAAAACAAUUUUUAUAGAAUGCUACGUAAAUAAUUUUUACAGCGUAAAAGCAAAAUAAAUUCCUACAUACAGUAGCACACGCAGCCAAGUAUUCAAAACAUUUAUCAAUGACAUGUGGGCCCCCGAAUUACUAAAAGUAAUGAAGGCUGUGAACCUACAGUUUUUGAGGAUGCAAGUCCAACUGUAGCCCUCAACGAAAUGAGCUAUCUACCGACUAUCUUAAGCCUGAAAUGGGUGGAAAGGAGGGUGAUGAGAUUAUAUAAUCCCAGUGAGUAAACAAAUAUCAUCUAAAAUAUCUAAAACUGAGUAAAUGGAGACAGAUAAAAUAGAUCAUCAUAAGAUGGUUCAUAACCUCAAAACACAUUUCAAAUCAUCUAAACUAGUUACAUUUCAUCGAAAAUAAACGACGAGGCUUAUGAUUUCCUGAAAAGCUUGACUCGUGCCAAAAUCAUUCUCAUACUCGGUUGUCAGGGAUACCUUGGCUUGGGGCUAUCCUAACCGAAUCCGCCAAGGCUGUUAAAAAGUCAUGUAUGCAUAAAUUAUGUUUUUAUUUUGAAAACAUAGUCGUUCUUUGGCAUUGACUGAGUUCACCCUCACGUGGUGGUUUGACGUGAAGUGAACUAUAAAGUUUUACCUCAGGAGUUACCCUAUGCGCCUCCUCAACCGAGGUAAGAAUAUACCUGGAUUCCGUACCCCUCAAAAAGGCUGGUCCAUAGAACCCGCCACUGCCGUGACCAAUCUAUAACCUACCAAUUCAAUAAAAAUUCAAUAGCAUGACAUGGCAACUUUUAUCAUUAUCCAGCCUAUCAAGGCAAACAAUAGUUUAUACAUUUUCAACACAAAUACCCAUCCAGCCAUUCAUGCCCAUAUUAUCAUAAGCCAUUCAAUUCAAAACAUAAUUUGCAAUACAGCAAGUAGUCUCCAAUUACUCCAUUUUCAAGUCAUCAUUCAAUUUCAAGACAAUUUAUAAAAUCAUUUUAUUUAAACACAUUUUCCAUAAAAUUACAAAAUCGGAUAAAAAUAUACUUUAGAUAAUUAAGAAGAUGAUAAGAUUACUCACAGUAAUGGGAAUCGAAUUCGGGACACUCUGAUUCUUGAUCCUCGGAUACUACCUCUUUACUCUUGCCAGAAUGCUCACCACCUAAACAUAAUGCACAAUAAGCAAUUUGCUAUAUUUGUGCUAAACCGUUGUAAAACCAUUUCAGGCUCUAUACUAAUGCAUGAAAUGAGAUAUGAAAUACUCGGGUAACUAUCUAAAUACGAUGUUCAGUACAAAUUCAAUUAUGUACCUAAAUAAAAUGGUAUUAGCCUAAUUCGAUCUAUCACCCGAUUAAUUGGCCAAUACGUCCAAUUCAACUCCAAACAAUUUCAUUUCUCUCCCAAUACUCCAAAUCAUUAAACACAAUUUAAAUAACUUGAAAUGUGGCAAAAUCAUCCUCACAUUUUCUCUUGAAAAAUUUGGCUAUGGUGAGUGCACUAACAAUAUAAAUUUUUUUUAUGCUUGAUUCUCACACCAUAAAUCAUUCAUUCAUAAUCAAAUCACUUAAAUUCAAUCAAAUUCAUCAUCAAUAUUCCACAUGGAAUAUUCGGCCAAUGAAGGUGAUGUAAGAACAUGAAUUUUUCUUGCUUGCUUUUCAUACUACACAUCACCAAACAACUAAAAACACUCGAAUAACAUGUUUUCUAACUAAAUUCAUCAUCAAAUUCUCUCUCCUAAGGUUUGAUCAGCACACUAUCCUUCAUGAUAUCUUGUGAUUCAACCAUGAAAAAUGCAAAAUAAUGCAUAGAAAAGGCAGAUCACAAGCUAGAAUUAAGAAAUUUCACCUUUGAUGGCUUGAUUCCUUGAAAUUUGGUGAAUUUCUCUUGAAUUUCUUAGCUAGGGUUUUGUUCUUCUUCUUUUCUUCCCUUUUCUUCCUUUGGCCGACCAAGAGAAAUGAGUUGGGAGGGUUUAUGUGCUGAUUUCUAAAGCCAAUUAUAAAUGGAUGAAAAUUUGACACAUGUCACCAUUUCAUUGGCCCAUGU
This 2138-nucleotide long non-coding RNA is filed under the name Theobroma cacao (cacao). Its description in RNAcentral is "long non-coding RNA (TCAC_LNC005835)". The record is from RNAcentral. Lineage: Eukaryota; Viridiplantae; Streptophyta; Magnoliopsida; Malvales; Malvaceae.